Mercenaria mercenaria is the source of this 1263-nucleotide long non-coding RNA. RefSeq lists it as uncharacterized. The transcript has 3 exons. Lineage: Eukaryota; Metazoa; Mollusca; Bivalvia; Venerida; Veneridae. The record is from RefSeq and is a predicted model, not a curated record.
GGAAGAUAAUGUAAUGUUUACUUUGUUCGAGCAUAAAAUCACAUGAAAUUUGUUUCGGUUUCGGUAGUUUUAUUUAGAUUUCAUAACCAACACUAACAAAUUGCAUAUAUAGAAAAUCAUUUACGGGAAGUUGAUAGUAAACGGACUGUAGAGGUUAAUCCAGAAUAGACACUGUGUAAUUUGUCAUCAAUGGGAUGUUAGGAGUACGUGUAUAGCACAUUAAUAAUAACGAUACAGGCCGAGUUGAGAGUGCUCUAGGGGCGCCUUUUGUGUUUGGAAAAUGCUUCUUGAUUAUAAUGGAGGAAGACGCUUUGUGCACGAUAUUUGUAAAAUGUGAGAGUUCUACAAUCACAAUAAUAACAAAACUAUCGAACACAGUGAAGAACGUGAAAAUCAAAGUUAGUAAAAAAGCAGGAAUAGCUUUAGACAGAAUAAAACUGAGAUAUGCUGGACACUAUCUACAGAAUGAUAGGACGUUAGCUGAUUAUCCAAUACACAAUGAAUCGACGUUAUUUCUUGACCGAGAAUAUUGGUAAACAAUGUUACAGAUUCUAUAAAACUAACAAGUAAAUUGAUAACACACGAACAUUGUAAAUAAGGAAACUUUCGAGCGGCGUAAUAUAAGCGUUUUCAAUAGCAACGGAUAGUGUAGUGAUUACAGAAAUAAUCAGUUCGCGAAUAGACGAUUGUUAAACUGGCCGGAAAAUUCCGUUAAAUUUAGGUUACCCAAAAGUUUUAAACGAUUCUGUUUCAAGGUUCUUUUAAAAGUUAUUUAUCUUACAAAAAAGUAAGCUAUGAAACUGAAAGAAGGCUUGCCUUUUCGAGACAUUCGUGUAAAUCUUAAAAUUCCGGCUGUAAAGCAAAUUCACCCAAAUCAGAUUGAAAAAGCGUAGAAUUAACAGAAAUUAGAGUGCAGCAAAUUUAUUGGAUAGUGUACAAAUUCUGACGGAAAGUUGACAAAUCUUGACAUCGCAUAAUUAAGAAUCGAAAGACUUUUGGAUAUAUCGGAUAAGCUAUUUGAAUGUGUGUGUUUUUUUUUUUUUUUUUUUGAAAACGCGUAUAAGUUAUAGUUCCAAAAAUUUGCAAAAACAUAUACACCACGAACAUAUCCCAGUUUAGUGUAGAUUUAUCAGUCAAUGAUUUGGAUAAUGAUUAUGAUGAUAAAGGCUAUUGAAUAAUUGUAACCAAAACCAUGAAAUGAUCUCAUUGAUUCUGAAUUGCAUUGUUUAUAAUGGGCUAAUAAAGUUUUCAAACAUGUGUCAA